Molecule: non-coding RNA, 750 nt
Organism: Nylanderia fulva
Lineage: Eukaryota; Metazoa; Arthropoda; Insecta; Hymenoptera; Formicidae
Source: RefSeq, a predicted model, not a curated record
AAGUAGCGGAUUAAUGUUAUCGCUGAGACGACUUCUAUUUGUAAUCAAUCAUCUUUAUCUACCAGCUAUCUACCAGCAAAAUAUAUAAAACCAAUCCAUUACGACAUCAAGCUUAUAUCAUAUAUUGAAGGAUAUAUUUUCUAUGGAGAAUACAAUAUCAGCAUAAGCAUUCCUAACAAAACGCAACACAUAUUUCUACAUUCAGAAAAAUUAAGUAUUAAAAAUAUAGUUUUGUUUACAAAUGUAGCAAAAUAUGAUGAGAAUGAUAAAGAUACAGUUUAUAAACCAACAUAUAAUAUUGAAGAAGACAUACUUGAUAUUUUUUUUAUCAACGAGGUAUCACCAGGAAAUUACAUUUUAAAUAUAAAAUAUUAUGGUACUGCUAAUGAAGUCUUUAGUAUUUUCGACGUGAAAAAAAAAAUUGCUAUGGUAGCUGCUACUCAUUUCCAUAUAAUAAGCAGCCGACAAUUGUCUUCAAGUUGGGAUCAACAGAAUUUAUUCCAUGAAGCAACCUUUAACAUAUCUAUAGGAUGUAAUCAAUGUACGGCUUUGUCAAAUAUGCCAUUGCGAUAUACGGAAAAAAAAAUGAAUCUGGAUUUCACAUGGAAUUUGCAAGAAAUGUAAUUAAAAAUAUCACGUUGUGGUUUAAAAAUGAAUGGAAACAGCGUCCCAACAAUAUUUCGAAAGUGACUCAUGUUGCAAUUCCAAAUUUCCAUGACAAUGACGUAAUCGUUUUUGGAUUGGUUUUUU